This 253-nucleotide ribosomal RNA is filed under the name uncultured bacterium. RNAcentral's name for it is "partial 16S ribosomal RNA". It matches the Rfam family "Bacterial small subunit ribosomal RNA", at positions 524 to 776 of the family's 1533-position model. The record is from RNAcentral.
GACGAACCGUGCGAACGUUGUUCGGAAUCACUGGGCUUAAAGGGCGCGUAGGCGGGCUAUCAAGUCCGGGGUGAAAUCCUCCAGCUUAACUGGAGAACGGCCUCGGAUACUGAUGGUCUCGAGGGGGAUAGGGGCACACGGAACUGUGGGUGGAGCGGUGAAAUGCGUUGAUAUCCACAGGAACUCCGGUGGCGAAAGCGGUGUGCUGGAUCCCUUCUGACGCUGAGGCGCGAAAGCCAGGGGAGCGAACGGG